RNAcentral lists this ribosomal RNA (301 nucleotides) under uncultured bacterium. RNAcentral describes it as "partial 16S ribosomal RNA". It matches the Rfam family "Bacterial small subunit ribosomal RNA", at positions 509 to 808 of the family's 1533-position model. The record is from RNAcentral.
CAGUAGCCGCGGUAAUACGAAGGGUGCAAGCGUUACUCGGAAUUACUGGGCGUAAAGCGUGUGUAGGUGGUUGUUUAAGUCUGUCGUGAAAGCCCUGGGCUCAACCUGGGAAUUGCGAUGGAUACUGGGCGACUAGAGUGCGGUAGAGGAUAGUGGAAUUUCCGGUGUAGCAGUGAAAUGCGUAGAGAUCGGAAGGAACAUCUGUGGCGAAGGCGACUAUCUGGCCAACACUGACACUGAGACACGAAAGCGUGGGGAGCAAACAGGAUUAGAUACCCCUGUAGUCCCUGUCUCUUAUACA